Molecule: ribosomal RNA, 255 nt
Filed under: uncultured bacterium
Lineage: Bacteria
Description: partial 16S ribosomal RNA
Rfam family: Bacterial small subunit ribosomal RNA
Source: RNAcentral
AACGUAGGAGACAAACGUUAUCCGGAGUUACUGGGCGUAAAGGGCGUGCAGGUGGUCUGUUAAGUCUGGCGUGAAAGCUCUCGGCUAAACCGGGAGAGGUCGUUGGAUACUGGCGGACUAGAGGACGGUAGAGGCGUGUGGAAUUCCGGGUGUAGUGGUGAAAUGCGUAGAGAUCCGGAGGAACACCAGUGGCGAAGGCGACACGCUGGGCCGUACCUGACACUAAAAACGCGACAGCAUGGGGGAGCGAACGGG